Molecule: long non-coding RNA, 3160 nt
Organism: Mytilus californianus (California mussel)
Lineage: Eukaryota; Metazoa; Mollusca; Bivalvia; Mytilida; Mytilidae
Exons: 6
Source: RefSeq, a predicted model, not a curated record
GUCUAGGAAUGAAGCAAACGUUGUUAUUUCCGUAGUGUUAGUCCUUAUGUUCGAGCUCAUUGAAAUAUAGGAUAUGUAGAUAAUGGAUUGAAAAAGAAUUAUGAAAGCUAAAAAAAGAAAUUAAUCACUACAGUUAAGUUUCAGAUGCGUAUCAAGAGUUCCAACCAUUGUAUGACAGAUACAUUUCGGUAAAAAGAUUAAAACCCUCAUCUAUUUUAAAGACGUUUGUGGAAUCUUUACGUCCUACAACGAAAAACAACGGCGAAAUCCGAGGAAAAAAGUAAAGACAAAUAGAUGGAGACAGCGGGCCAUCAUCCAGACAUGAACGAGACAGUCCACCUACACCACACAACCUGUCACAUGAUUGGGUUAUUUCUGGGAAUCCACGUGGCAUCAGCAAGGUGAAGAUCGAUAAGAGUAUCUGUGUCAAUGUCGGAUUACUUUAACCAAGACGAAAAUAGACGGAAGUCGGAAGAGAGAACCGGUACAAUUUCCUCUAACGAGAAAAAGAUGUAUGUUUCGUGUAUUUGAUAGAAUUUAAAUAUUCUCACGGCAACAAAUAUGAACACAUCCCUUUAAAAUAUAUCACGGUAGAAAAUAUGAACACAUCCUUUUAAAAUAUAUCACGGUAGAAAAAAGAACACAUCCUUAUUAAAAUGCUCACAGUGGCAAAUAAAAACAUUUUCACGAUUGCAAAUAUGAACAAAUCCUUAUAAAAAUUCUCACAGUAGCAAAUAUGAACACAUCCGUAUGAAAUUAUCACGGUAGCAAAUAUGAACACAUCCUUAUAAAAAUUCUCACGGUUGCUAAUAUGAACAAAUCUUUACAAGUAUGAAAAUUCUCGCGGUAGAUAAUAUAAACAAAUCCUAACUUAUAAAAAAUCCCACGGUAGCUUAAAUGAACACAGCCUUACUUAUAAAAAAUCCCACGGUAGCUUAAAUGAACACAGCCUUACUUAUAAAAAAUCCCACGGUAGCUUAAAUGAACACAGCCUUACUUAUAAAAAUUUGCACUGACGUGUAGCAAAUAUGAACAAAUCCUUCUAAAAAUUCUCACGGUUGCAAAUAUCAACAAAUCCGUUUAAAAAUUCUCACGGUAGCAAAUAUGAUCGCAUCCUUACAAAAAUUAUUACGGUAGUAAAAUAAGCAUUUUAUUCAAAUUUGAUAUUACAACGUUAGUGUAGAAUAAAAUCAGAAUAGCUACUUAGAAAACGAAACCCUAUAUACUUAAGGUACUUGUGGCAAUAAAAGAAACGUGUAUUGAAUAGUGGGGCAUUUUCAUACUGUAAUAACCACAAUAGGUUUUGUGAGAAUGUAUCACCAAUUGGCAUUCUUACAAUACUACACGUAUCUUCCAUUUUUGGUAGCAGUGUUAAACAUCCAUGAAACCUCAAAAAAAAUAUUUCCAAAUUCGUUAAGCAAGGUGGAUUUGAACGGUUGACAGUUGUUUGUGUUCAUAUUUCCAGGUCUUGUAUGCAUUGUUUUCCAUAAUAUUUUCCUUUAACGUUUCUGGAGAUGAAACACUGAAACACGUUCCAUGCUCAUUUUAACCUUGCUAGGUAUUAUAUAUAUCAUUGUCUUUUCAUUGAAUGUAAAUUAACUAAUGCCUACACUGUUGAAAUAUGCAUAAAUCAAGACGUGACAGAAUAUUUUCCAUUUUAAUGAGACACUAUUGUCAUCAUUCAGGUCGAUGAGUACAAGUACGUAAGAUCAGGGGCGUGCAUCCCAAAAAAUAAAGAAAAAUGUAUUUUUUUUGCAAUAAACCUUCGAAUUUGUUUUCUUCUCGCUCCAACCGGCGACAUUACUAGAGUCCCGCCCCCUUACCACAAAUCCUGAAUCAGCCCCAGGGGAUUUAAAAUAAUUUCACUGUCGGCCGCGGUAACGAUAACAUUGAAAUAUUAAGAUCAUCCGAAAAAUAAAUUUUAUCAUUUAACAUUUUUUGAUAAAAUUUCUUUUAACGAAUUACAUAAUGAAUUUCAUAAAAGGAUAAAAGUAUAAAACGCUUAAGAAGCGCUUUACCAGAUGAACCUUCUAAAGGAUAGCUCAAACAAAUCUAUUUCAAAGCCAACGAUGUAUAAAUACUUACAUAUAUAAGUAGGGCACACGUGCCAAAAAUAUCUGUCCUAUUUAGAGAACAGUUUUGUUUACAUACCGAAAACUACAACGUCAUACUUUUUGUUUUGUUUUGUUUUAAUAUUUUCUUGAAAUCAACUGAUCUCCGAGCACAAAUAAUCUUAAAUUAGAAUAGGGGGAGGAUUGAGUGGUCAAAAACAUGUUUAACUCCGCCACAUUCUUUGUGUGCCUGUCCCAAGUCGACCAGGAGCCUUUUAUUCAGUGGUUGUCGAUGGUUGCUGUCUGUUAUAUUUGUUUUUCGUUUAUUGUUUUGUCAUAAAUCAGACCGUUGUUUUUUUCGUUUUAAUAGUUUCAUAUUUGCCAUGUCGACUCCCCUUUAAGCGCUUAUGGGUUAUGCUCAUUGUUGAGGUUCGUACGAUUGCCUGUAAUUGCUUAAAUACACGUUGUUUGUACUCGUUUUGAUAAUUGUCUCAUUGGCAAUCAUUUUUAAAUUAAAUAUACUUUUAAUCAAGACUUUUGCGUGUUUCGUGGUGAAAAUUCUGAAAAACAUAUUGUUUACGCUAAUACAAAUAUAACAUGGACUUGUUUGUUUGUUUUCUAUAUGUAUGUAAAAUUACACAUGAAGUGUUUACCCCUGAAAACUUAAGUUCAUCGAUAGCCCUUAUUUGUUUACCAGCGAUUUAUUUACAAUGUCAAAUGAGUCACAACAAAACUAUUUAAAUCAUAACCUUUUGAACUACAACUGUUUUGUUUUUUUUCUUAGUAAAGAAGUAGGAUAUAAUUGAAGAUAUAUUUAAGAUAUAAAUAUUUAGUACGAUCAAGGCUAUGGCUCGAUUGAUUGAUUGGUGAUUGCUUUACGCCGCAUCAGCACAAAAAGGCUAUAUCGUGGCGAGAGAUAUUUUAAAUAUUAUAACAAGACGUUUUAUUAAAAAUCAGACAAAAAGUCUUUCAAUUUACUAAAACUUUAGUUUAAAGCGAAAUUGAUUAUGUACAAAUAAAAUUUCAUCAAUAGGAUAACAUGAUAAAAACUUAAAAUCAUUUUAAACUAAUACAACAAAUUCAAAUUUUGGAAUAUAUUCCAAUUUCUU